RNAcentral lists this ribosomal RNA (471 nucleotides) under uncultured bacterium. Its description in RNAcentral is "bacterial SSU rRNA". It matches the Rfam family "Bacterial small subunit ribosomal RNA", at positions 335 to 798 of the family's 1533-position model. The record is from RNAcentral.
UGCCUACGGGAGGCAGCAGUGAGGAAUCUUGGGCAAUGGGCGAAAGCCUGACCCAGCGACGCCGCGUGGAGGAAGAAGGCCUUCGGGUCGUAAACUCCUGUUCGGGGAGAAGAACAGGAGAGAAGUGAAUAACUUCUCUCCCUGACGGUAUCCCCGGAGAAAGCUCCGGCUAAUUACGUGCCAGCAGCCGCGGUAAUACGUAAGGAGCGAGCGUUGUCCGGAUUUACUGGGCGUAAAGAGCUCGUAGGUGGUUUCUUAGGUCUCACGUGAAAUUCCCUGGCUCAACUGGGGAGGGUCGUGGGAAACCGAGAAGCUAGAGGGCAGGAGAGGAGAGUGGAAUUCCCGGUGUAGCGGUGAAAUGCGUAGAGAUCGGGAGGAACACCAGUGGUGAAGACGGCUCUCUGGACUGUCCCUGACACUGAGGAGCGAAAGCCAGGGGAGCAAACCGGAUUAGAUACCCGGGUAGUCCAU